GCUUGCUUUUUGCUGACGAGUGGCGAACGGGUGCGUAACGCGUAUGCAACCUACCUUCUUCUGAGGAAUAGCCCAGAGAAAUUUGGAUUAAAACCUCAUGAUAAUAUUUAUUCGCAUGUUUAAAUAUUUAAAAUUUCGAUGGAAGAAGAUGGGCAUGCGUAACAUUAGUUUGUUGGUGAGGUAAUGGCUUACCAAGACUACGAUGUUUAGGGGGUCUGAGAGGAUGAUCCCCCACACUGGUACCGAGACACGGACCAGACUCCUACGGGAGGCAGCAGUGAGGAAUAUUGGUCAAUGGACGAAAGUCUGAACCAGCCAUGCCGCGUGAAGGAUGACUGCCCUACGGGUUGUAAACUUCUUUUGUAUAGGAAGAAACCCCUCUACGUGUAGAGGGUUGACGGUACUAUUCGAAUAAGCACCGGCUAACUCCGUGCCAGCAGCCGCGGUAAUACGUAGGGUGCGAGCGUUAUCCGGAAUUAUUGGGUUUAAAGGGUGCGUAGGCGGAAAUUUAAGUCAGUGGUGAAAGCCUGCAGCUUAACUGUAGAAUUGCCAUUGAUACUGAAUUUCUUGAAUCUAAUUGAAGUAGGCGGAAUAUGACAUGUAGCGGUGAAAUGCUUAGAUAUGUCAUAGAACACCGAUAGCGAAGGCAGCUUACUAAGUUAGUAUUGACGCUAAUGCAC
This 680-nucleotide ribosomal RNA is filed under the name uncultured Bacteroidota bacterium. RNAcentral describes it as "bacterial SSU rRNA". It matches the Rfam family "Bacterial small subunit ribosomal RNA", at positions 78 to 754 of the family's 1533-position model. The record is from RNAcentral. Lineage: Bacteria; Pseudomonadati; Bacteroidota.